CCGAGAACCGGUACUAAGUCAAUACCGGUACCUGAUUUGACGGUAUCGGUUUACCGUUAAGCCGCUGGACAUACGGUGCUGCUAUCGGUAUAUUACGUGACCCUCAUCCCGGUUUGAGACCCCUCUGAUUGGCCAGCGGCGCGCCCUUAUCAUUGUUGUGAUUUGUGUUGUGACUGUGAGACUCCCGCAGUCAUGGCGGACAGAGCGAAGCGAUCAAAGGUCUGGGUGCACUUUCAAAAAUUGAGUGGCGAUAGUGCAAAGUGCAAUCUUUGUACUCAAGUCGUUGCUUGUAAAGGGGGUAACACAAGCAACUUGAUGAAGCAUUUGCAAACGAGACACUCGUUGAAUCUCAAACGGUGCAGCAUAUUUGACAGCCUAGUAAACACUGUGGCUGCUAGUAAUGCUAGUGCUAAUAGUGCUAGCAUUAGCACAACAACAACGUCUUCCUCCUCAGUGCAACCUGGUGCGAGUUGCGGGACGGCUGCCUCGACUUCGACACGUGAAGGGAGAUGACCACAGCCCUUAACCCUAAUUACCACCCCCCUUCCAGAGACACUCUGUCCAACACACUCAUACCUGCUUGGUAUAACAUCGAAAAAGAGAACCUGAGGGCAGAGCUUGCCAGUGUGGAAAAAGUUGCCAUUACAAGUGAUGGGUGGACCAGUAUUACACAGGACCACUACAUAACGGUCACGCUCCACUACAUUACAAAAAAUGUUCAUCCUCUGUUUGAGGGAAAACUCCAAAAAGCAUGAUAGGGAGAGCCAGGCCCCUUUAAGUUAUUAUAUUUAUUUUUGUCUGCUUCUGAGAAGCUAAUGUAAGUUAUACAGUUACUUCUGCAAGACAAUAUCAAUAAAAUAACUGUUUAAUCUUCA
Pseudoliparis swirei is the source of this 875-nucleotide long non-coding RNA. RefSeq lists it as uncharacterized. The transcript has 2 exons. NCBI's taxonomy places the organism in Eukaryota, Metazoa, Chordata, Actinopteri, Perciformes, Liparidae. The record is from RefSeq and is a predicted model, not a curated record.